RNAcentral lists this ribosomal RNA (1026 nucleotides) under Staphylococcus aureus. RNAcentral's name for it is "partial 23S ribosomal RNA". It matches the Rfam family "Bacterial large subunit ribosomal RNA", at positions 1286 to 2308 of the family's 2925-position model. Lineage: Bacteria; Bacillati; Bacillota; Bacilli; Caryophanales; Staphylococcaceae. The record is from RNAcentral.
AAGUGAGAAUGCCGGUGUGAGUAGCGAAAGACGGGUGAGAAUCCCGUCCACCGAUUGACUAAGGUUUCCAGAGGAAGGCUCGUCCGCUCUGGGUUAGUCGGGUCCUAAGCUGAGGCCGACAGGCGUAGGCGAUGGAUAACAGGUUGAUAUUCCUGUACCACCUAUAAUCGUUUUAAUCGAUGGGGGGACGCAGUAGGAUAGGCGAAGCGUGCGAUUGGAUUGCACGUCUAAGCAGUAAGGCUGAGUAUUAGGCAAAUCCGGUACUCGUUAAGGCUGAGCUGUGAUGGGGAGAAGACAUUGUGUCUUCGAGUCGUUGAUUUCACACUGCCGAGAAAAGCCUCUAGAUAGAAAAUAGGUGCCCGUACCGCAAACCGACACAGGUAGUCAAGAUGAGAAUUCUAAGGUGAGCGAGCGAACUCUCGUUAAGGAACUCGGCAAAAUGACCCCGUAACUUCGGGAGAAGGGGUGCUCUUUAGGGUUAACGCCCAGAAGAGCCGCAGUGAAUAGGCCCAAGCGACUGUUUAUCAAAAACACAGGUCUCUGCUAAACCGUAAGGUGAUGUAUAGGGGCUGACGCCUGCCCGGUGCUGGAAGGUUAAGAGGAGUGGUUAGCUUCUGCGAAGCUACGAAUCGAAGCCCCAGUAAACGGCGGCCGUAACUAUAACGGUCCUAAGGUAGCGAAAUUCCUUGUCGGGUAAGUUCCGACCCGCACGAAAGGCGUAACGAUUUGGGCACUGUCUCAACGAGAGACUCGGUGAAAUCAUAGUACCUGUGAAGAUGCAGGUUACCCGCGACAGGACGGAAAGACCCCGUGGAGCUUUACUGUAGCCUGAUAUUGAAAUUCGGCACAGCUUGUACAGGAUAGGUAGGAGCCUUUGAAACGUGAGCGCUAGCUUACGUGGAGGCGCUGGUGGGAUACUACCCUAGCUGUGUUGGCUUUCUAACCCGCACCACUUAUCGUGGUGGGAGACAGUGUCAGGCGGGCAGUUUGACUGGGGCGGUCGCCUCCUAAAAGGUAACGGAGGCG